This 253-nucleotide ribosomal RNA is filed under the name uncultured bacterium. Its description in RNAcentral is "partial 16S ribosomal RNA". It matches the Rfam family "Bacterial small subunit ribosomal RNA", at positions 524 to 776 of the family's 1533-position model. The record is from RNAcentral.
UACGGAGGGGACUAGCGUUGUUCGGAAUUACUGGGCGUAAAGCGCACGUAGGCGGAUUUGUAAGUUAGAGGUGAAAGCCCGGGGCUCAACCCCGGAACAGCCUUUAAGACUGCAUCGCUAGAAUCCGGGAGAGGUGAGUGGAAUUCCGAGUGUAGAGGUGAAAUUCGUAGAUAUUCGGAAGAACACCAGUGGCGAAGGCGGCUCACUGGACCGGCAUUGACGCUGAGGUGCGAAAGCGUGGGGAGCAAACAGG